Molecule: ribosomal RNA, 472 nt
Filed under: uncultured bacterium
Lineage: Bacteria
Description: bacterial SSU rRNA
Rfam family: Bacterial small subunit ribosomal RNA
Source: RNAcentral
UGGGGAAUUUUGGACAAUGGGGGCAACCCUGAUCCAGCAAUGCCGCGUGAGUGAAGAAGGCCUUCGGGUUGUAAAGCUCUUUUGUCAGGGAAGAAACGGUAGUAGCGAAUAACUAUUACUAAUGACGGUACCUGAAGAAUAAGCACCGGCUAACUACGUGCCAGCAGCCGCGGUAAUACGUAGGGUGCAAGCGUUAAUCGGAAUUACUGGGCGUAAAGCGUGCGCAGGCGGUUGUGUAAGUCAGAUGUGAAAUCCCCGGGCUCAACCUGGGAAUUGCAUUUGAGGCUGCACGGCUAGAGUGUGUCAGAGGGGGGUAGAAUUCCACGUGUAGCAGUGAAAUGCGUAGAUAUGUGGAGGAAUACCGAUGGCGAAGGCAGCCCCCUGGGAUAACACUGACGCUCAUGCACGAAAGCGUGGGGAGCAAACAGGAUUAGAUACCCACGUAGUCCCUGAGCGGGCUGGCAAGGCGCAU